UAUAAUGCAGUCGAGCGAACUGAUUAGAAGCUUGCUUCUAUGACGUUAGCGGCGGACGGGUGAGUAACACGUGGGCAACCUGCCUGUAAGACUGGGAUAACUUCGGGAAACCGAAGCUAAUACCGGAUAGGAUCUUCUCCUUCAUGGGAGAUGAUUGAAAGAUGGUUUCGGCUAUCACUUACAGAUGGGCCCGCGGUGCAUUAGCUAGUUGGUGAGGUAACGGCUCACCAAGGCAACGAUGCAUAGCCGACCUGAGAGGGUGAUCGGCCACACUGGGACUGAGACACGGCCCAGACUCCUACGGGAGGCAGCAGUAGGGAAUCUUCCGCAAUGGACGAAAGUCUGACGGAGCAACGCCGCGUGAGUGAUGAAGGCUUUCGGGUCGUAAAACUCUGUUGUUAGGGAAGAACAAGUACAAGAGUAACUGCUUGUACCUUGACGGUACCUAACCAGAAAGCCACGGCUAACUACGUGCCAGCAGCCGCGGUAAUACGUAGGUGGCAAGCGUUAUCCGGAAUUAUUGGGCGUAAAGCGCGCGCAGGCGGUUUCUUAAGUCUGAUGUGAAAGCCCACGGCUCAACCGUGGAGGGUCAUUGGAAACUGGGGAACUUGAGUGCAGAAGAGAAAAGCGGAAUUCCACGUGUAGCGGUGAAAUGCGUAGAGAUGUGGAGGAACACCAGUGGCGAAGGCGGCUUUUUGGUCUGUAACUGACGCUGAGGCGCGA
This 723-nucleotide ribosomal RNA is filed under the name Priestia megaterium. RNAcentral describes it as "bacterial SSU rRNA". It matches the Rfam family "Bacterial small subunit ribosomal RNA", at positions 50 to 756 of the family's 1533-position model. The record is from RNAcentral. Lineage: Bacteria; Bacillati; Bacillota; Bacilli; Caryophanales; Bacillaceae.